GUGUUUGCUUUGGCAGCACAUAUACUAAAAUUGGAAUGCUACAGAGAUUAAUGUAACCCUGUACGAUAAUGACACACAAAUUCAUGAAGCAUUCCAUAUUUUU
This is a small nuclear RNA of Sciurus carolinensis (gray squirrel), 103 nucleotides long. The record is from RefSeq and is a predicted model, not a curated record. Lineage: Eukaryota; Metazoa; Chordata; Mammalia; Rodentia; Sciuridae.